This 114-nucleotide non-coding RNA is filed under the name Platyophrya macrostoma. The record is from RNAcentral. Lineage: Eukaryota; Ciliophora; Colpodea; Cyrtolophosidida; Platyophryidae.
GCCCCAACCGUACCGCACAGCACCACCGUAAGCAGAGUCUCUUCAACGAAUCCUGCGAUAUCGUCGUCGUCCUCUGAAGCUAAUCCUUCAGCGAUGGGGGCCACCGCCGUCGUA